GAAUAUUGGACAAUGGGCGCAAGCCUGAUCCAGCCAUGCCGCGUGUGUGAAGAAGGCCUUAGGGUUGUAAAGCACUUUCAGUGGGGAGAAAGGUCAUUCACCUAAUACGUGAGUGAAUUGAUGUUACCCACAGAAGAAGCACCGGCUAACUCCGUGCCAGCAGCCGCGGUAAUACGGAGGGUGCAAGCGUUAAUCGGAAUUACUGGGCGUAAAGCGCACGUAGGUGGUUUGUUAAGCUAGCUGUGAAAUCCCCGGGCUCAACCUGGGCACUGCAGUUAGAACUGGCAAGCUAGAGUAGGGUAGAGGGGUGUGGAAUUCCAGGUGUAGCGGUGAAAUGCGUAGAUAUCUGGAGGAACAUCAGUGGCGAAGGCGACACCCUGGACUCAUACUGACACUGAGGUGCGAAAGCGUGGGGAGCAAACAG
RNAcentral lists this ribosomal RNA (424 nucleotides) under uncultured bacterium. RNAcentral's name for it is "bacterial SSU rRNA". It matches the Rfam family "Bacterial small subunit ribosomal RNA", at positions 359 to 775 of the family's 1533-position model. The record is from RNAcentral.